Molecule: ribosomal RNA, 823 nt
Filed under: Xenoacremonium recifei
Lineage: Eukaryota; Fungi; Ascomycota; Sordariomycetes; Hypocreales; Nectriaceae
Description: eukaryotic LSU rRNA
Rfam family: Eukaryotic large subunit ribosomal RNA
Source: RNAcentral
AGCGGAGGAAAAGAAACCAACAGGGAUUGCCCUAGUAACGGCGAGUGAAGCGGCAACAGCUCAAAUUUGAAAUCUGGCCUUCGGGUCCGAGUUGUAAUUUGUAGAGGAUGCUUUUGGUGCGGUGCCUUCCGAGUUCCCUGGAACGGGACGCCAUAGAGGGUGAGAGCCCCGUCUGGUUGGAUACCAAUCCUCUGUAAAGCUCCUUCGACGAGUCGAGUAGUUUGGGAAUGCUGCUCUAAAUGGGAGGUAUAUGUCUUCUAAAGCUAAAUACCGGCCAGAGACCGAUAGCGCACAAGUAGAGUGAUCGAAAGAUGAAAAGCACUUUGAAAAGAGGGUUAAACAGUACGUGAAAUUGUUGAAAGGGAAGCGCUUGUGACCAGACUUGGGCAUGGUUAAUCAUCCAGCGUUCUCGCUGGUGCACUUGGCCUGCCCAGGCCAGCAUCAGUUCGGUGCGGGGGAUAAAGGCUUCGGGAAUGUGGCUCCUCCGGGAGUGUUAUAGCCCGUUGUGCAAUACCCUGCGCUGGACUGAGGUUCGCGCAUCUGCAUGGAUGCUGGCGUAAUGGUCAUCAGCGACCCGUCUUGAAACACGGACCAAGGAGUCGUCCUCGUAUGCGAGUGUUCGGGUGUUAAACCCCUACGCGUAAUGAAAGUGAACGCAGGUGAGAGCUUCGGCGCAUCAUCGACCGAUCCUGAUGUUCUCGGAUGGAUUUGAGUAAGAGCAUACGGGGCCGGACCCGAAAGAAGGUGAACUAUGCCUGUAUAGGGUGAAGCCAGAGGAAACUCUGGUGGAGGCUCGCAGCGGUUCUGACGUGCAAAUCGAUCG